GGAGAGGAAUAUCACGCACGUCUAUCGCGAGACAGGAGAAUUGAUUGUCGUUCUGUCUGCAUACAACGGGUUGAAUUCAGUCACCAUCAACAAAACUGUCAACAUCAUUGAUCGAAUCGAGAGUGCCCAUAUUUCAAUGACAUAUCCGCCAGCCUCUAUUCUGGGUGAUGUGACGUCAUUCGAUAUCACUUUGGCUCAAGGGUCACAGGUUAAUUGCGUCAUAGAUAUUGGAAACGGGACCACUAUAUCCGUAGAUAACGUGGGUCGCAGGUACAGGCGCAUCGAAAACCGGCAGUGUGCGGGCCAAAUACUAAAGAAUAUUACGGGUAACAUUACCGCGGAGGAGUGCAUGGAUGUGUGUGAUGAAACACCGUAUUGUAUUACUUUGGAGCACUCGCACGAUAACAGCUUGUGUCGCCUCUUCUCAGAACGGUGCAAUGCAAGCACACAGUCACUAACAGAAAGCAGUUACGAUGCGA
Lingula anatina is the source of this 479-nucleotide long non-coding RNA. The record is from RefSeq and is a predicted model, not a curated record. NCBI's taxonomy places the organism in Eukaryota, Metazoa, Brachiopoda, Lingulata, Lingulida, Lingulidae.